This 253-nucleotide ribosomal RNA is filed under the name uncultured bacterium. RNAcentral describes it as "partial 16S ribosomal RNA". It matches the Rfam family "Bacterial small subunit ribosomal RNA", at positions 524 to 776 of the family's 1533-position model. The record is from RNAcentral.
UACGGAGGGUGCAAGCGUUAUUCGGAAUUAUUGGGCGUAAAGCGUUCGCAGGUGGCUGUUCAAGUCAGCUGUCAAAGCCCGGGGCUUAACCUCAGAGAGGCAGUGGAAACUGAAUGGCUGGAGUGCAGAGCGGGUUGAGGGAAUUCCCAGUGUAGCGGUGAAAUGCGUAGAGAUUGGAAAGAACACCGGUGGCGAAAGCGCUCUGCUGGUCUGCAACUGACACUGAGGGACGAAAGCGAGGGGAGCGAAAGGG